GUGUCAGCCGCCGCGGUAAUACGUAGGCAGCAAGCGUUGUUCGGAGUUACUGGGCGUAAAGGGUGUGUAGGCGGUUGCUUAAGUUUGGUGUGAAAUCUCCCGGCUUAACUGGGAGGGUGCGCCGAAUACUGAGUGACUAGAGUGCGGGAGAGGAAAGUGGAAUUCCUGGUGUAGCGGUGAAAUGCGUAGAUAUCAGGAGGAACACCGGUGGUGUAGACGGCUUUCUGGACCGUAACUGACGCUGAGACACGAAAGCGUGGGUAGCAAACAGGAUUAGAAACCCUCGUAGUCC
Molecule: ribosomal RNA, 292 nt
Filed under: uncultured bacterium
Lineage: Bacteria
Description: partial 16S ribosomal RNA
Rfam family: Bacterial small subunit ribosomal RNA
Source: RNAcentral